UACGAAUGGGGCGAGCGUUGUUCGGAAUCACUGGGCGUAAAGCGUGCGCAGGCGGUCAUGAAAGUCAGGAGUGAAAUCCCAGGGCUUAACCCUGGAAUGGCUCUUGAAACUCCAUGACUAGAGUACUGGAGAGGUUGGCGGAAUUCCGAGUGUAGAGGUGAAAUUCGCAGAUAUUCGGAGGAACACCAAUGGCGUAGGCAGCCAACUGGACAGUAACUGACGCUCAUGCACGAAAGCGUGGGGAUCAAACAGGAUUAGAUACCCUGGUAGUCCACGCCCUAAACGAUGUGUGCUAGUUGUCGGGCCCUUUAGGGUUCGGUGACGCAGCUAACGCUUUAAGCACACCGCCUGGGGAGUACGGUCGCAAGAUUAAA
Molecule: ribosomal RNA, 374 nt
Filed under: uncultured bacterium
Lineage: Bacteria
Description: bacterial SSU rRNA
Rfam family: Bacterial small subunit ribosomal RNA
Source: RNAcentral